Molecule: ribosomal RNA, 621 nt
Filed under: Salmonella enterica subsp. enterica serovar Newport
Lineage: Bacteria; Pseudomonadati; Pseudomonadota; Gammaproteobacteria; Enterobacterales; Enterobacteriaceae
Description: partial 23S ribosomal RNA
Rfam family: Bacterial large subunit ribosomal RNA
Source: RNAcentral
GGGUGUGACUGCGUACCUUUUGUAUAAUGGGUCAGCGACUUAUAUUCUGUAGCAAGGUUAACCGAAUAGGGGAGCCGGAGGGAAACCGAGUCUUAAUUGGGCGUUAAGUUGCAGGGUAUAGACCCGAAACCCGGUGAUCUAGCCAUGGGCAGGUUGAAGGUUGGGUAACACUAACUGGAGGACCGAACCGACUAAUGUUGAAAAAUUAGCGGAUGACCUGUGGCUGGGGGUGAAAGGCCAAUCAAACCGGGAGAUAGCUGGUUCUCCCCGAAAGCUAUUUAGGUAGCGCCUCGUGAAUUCAUCUCCGGGGGUAGAGCACUGUUUCGGCUAGGGGGCCAUCCCGGCUUACCAACCCGAUGCAAACUGCGAAUACCGGAGAAUGUUAUCACGGGAGACACACGGCGGGUGCUAACGUCCGUCGUGAAGAGGGAAACAACCCAGACCGCCAGCUAAGGUCCCAAAGUCAUGGUUAAGUGGGAAACGAUGUGGGAAGGCCCAGACAGCCAGGAUGUUGGCUUAGAAGCAGCCAUCAUUUAAAGAAAGCGUAAUAGCUCACUGGUCGAGUCGGCCUGCGCGGAAGAUGUAACGGGGCUAAACCAUGCACCGAAGCUGCGGCAGCGA